This 332-nucleotide ribosomal RNA is filed under the name uncultured eukaryote. Its description in RNAcentral is "partial 18S ribosomal RNA". It matches the Rfam family "Eukaryotic small subunit ribosomal RNA", at positions 1470 to 1796 of the family's 1831-position model. The record is from RNAcentral.
CCCUUAGAUGUUCUGGGCUGCACGCGCGCUACACUGUCGGAUUCAGCGAGUCAUAUCCUUAACCGAAAGGUUUGGGUAAUCUUUUGAAAGUCCGACGUGAUGGGGAUUGAUCAUUGCAAUUAUUGAUCAUGAACGAGGAAUUCCUAGUAAGCGCGAGUCAUCAGCUCGCGUUGAUUACGUCCCUGCCCUUUGUACACACCGCCCAUCGCUACUACCGAUUGAAUGGUUUAGUGAGAUCUUCGGAUUGGCGCCUACGCGGCUUCUCUGAGGCCACGCUGGAUGCCGAAAAGUUGCUCAAACUGUAUCAUUUAGAGGAAGUAAAAGUCGUAACA